This 549-nucleotide ribosomal RNA is filed under the name uncultured Glomeromycotina. RNAcentral's name for it is "SSU rRNA". It matches the Rfam family "Eukaryotic small subunit ribosomal RNA", at positions 548 to 1098 of the family's 1831-position model. The record is from RNAcentral. Lineage: Eukaryota; Fungi; Glomeromycota.
UUGGAGGGCAAGUCUGGUGCCCGCAGCCGCGGUAAUUCCAGCUCCAAUAGCGUAUAUUAAAGUUGUUGCAGUUAAAAAGCUCGUAGUUGAAUUUCGGGAUCAAUAUGCUGGUCGUGCCUUUGGUACGUACUGGUAUUAUUGGUUUCUCCUUUCUGAUGAAUCACGAUGUCAUUAAUUUGGUGUCAUGGGGAAUCAGGACUGUUACUUUGAAAAAAUUAGAGUGUUUAAAGCAGGCUCACGCUUGAAUACAUUAGCAUGGAAUAACGAAAUAGGACGUUUGAUUCUAUUUUGUUGGUUUCUAGGAUCGACGUAAUGAUUAAUAGGGAUAGUUGGGGGCAUUAGUAUUCAAUUGUCAGAGGUGAAAUUCUUGGAUUUAUUGAAGACUAACUACUGCGAAAGCAUUUGCCAAGGAUGUUUUCAUUAAUCAAGAACGAAAGUUAGGGGAUCGAAGACGAUCAGAUACCGUCGUAGUCUUAACCAUAAACUAUGCCGACUAGGGAUCGGAUGAUGUUAAUUUUUUAAUGACUCAUUCGGCGCCUUACGGGAAAC